RNAcentral lists this ribosomal RNA (1605 nucleotides) under Tomistoma schlegelii (false gharial). RNAcentral describes it as "16S ribosomal RNA". It matches the Rfam family "Bacterial large subunit ribosomal RNA". Lineage: Eukaryota; Metazoa; Chordata; Crocodylia; Gavialidae. The record is from RNAcentral.
AUACCCCACCCCUAGCCCUAAAGACCAUUCCCAAACAUUAUUAGACUAAACUUAAUUAAAACAUUUUUCCAAGCCUUAGUAUCGGUGAGAGAAAGGGUAUUAGGCGCAAUAGAGAUAGUACCGUAAGGGAAAGAUGAAAUAAAAAUUUAACUUAAACAAAAGUAUAACACAGCAAAGACAAACCCUUUUACCUUUUGCAUAAUGGUUUAGCAAACCCCUCACACGGCAAAGUGAACUAAAGUCGCACCUCCCGAAACUAGGCGAGCUACUAAUCAGCAACAACACCAGUGCUGACCCGUUCUUCUGUGGCAAAAGAGUGGGAAGACUGAUUAGUGGAAGUGAAAAGCCUAACGAGCCUAGUGAUAGCUGGCUGCUUGGGAACAGAAUGUAAGUUCUACUGUAAACUCUUCUUACUCACCACCAACAAAGGACAAAGAAUAGUUUUCAAGCUAUUUAAUGGAGGUACAGCUCCAUUAACACAGGACUCAACCUCUACCUCAAGGUAAACACACUUGCACCCUAUAUGUAGGCCUUAAAGCAGCCACCAUAAUGAAAGCGUCAAAGCUCGCAACUUUAAAAAUUUCUAUAACAAAGUGAACCUUACAACACAACCAAGCCCUUCUACAACCUUAGAAGAGAUCCUGCUAAAAUAAGUAAUAAGAAAUUGACUUUCUCCCUAGCGCAAGCCUAUAUGCCCCAUGACCCACUAUCGAUGAUUAACAUAGCCCUUACUACCCACCCCUAAAUAAGGCACUUCAAUUGUUAACCCAACACAGGAGCGCAAUAGGAAAGGCUAAACCCUGCAAAAGGAACUCGGCAAACAAGGAUUCCGACUGUUUACCAAAAACACAGCCCCCAGCCUCCCAAGUAUUGGGGGUGAUGCCUGCCCAAUGACCUAAAGUUAAAUGGCCGCGGUAUCUACAACCGCGCGAAGGUAGCGUAAUCACUUGUUCUUUAAAUGGGGACUAGUAUGAAAGGCUAAACGAGAGUCCAUCUGUCUCUUGCAGGCAGCCAAUGAAAUUGAUCUCCCUGUGCAAAAGCAGGGAUUUACACAUCAGACGAGAAGACCCUGUGAAACUUUAAACCCCCUAGGCCACAACAAAUGUAAUCCUUUUCCCCAACCCGGGGCCAACUACCAUUAAAACUAUUGACCUAGUGUUUUCGGUUGGGGCGACCCCAAAAUAAAAAAAACUUUCCUGGAAAACAGUAACAUAACUACUACUAACUAAGACCUACACCCCAAAGUGCUUAAAUGUAAUCAGAUCCGGCAUGCACCGAUCUAUGGACCAAGCUACUCCAGGGAUAACAGCGCAAUCCCCCUCAAGAGCCCCUAUCGACAGGGGGGUUUACGACCUCGAUGUUGGAUCAGGACAUCCUAAUGGUGCAACCGCUAUUAACGGUUCGUGUGUGCAACGAUUAAAGUCCUACGUGAUCUGAGUUGCAGACCGGAGCAAUCCAGGUCGGUUUCUAUCUAUGAAUGUGAACCUUUCUAGUACGAAAGGACCGAAAGAGCAAGGCCUCUACCCCCAAAGCACGCCUUACCCUAAGCCCAAUGCAAUCAACUAAAUUGGCGCCAGGACAACCAAUUUCCUCAAUAUAAGAGCA